GACGAGGGAUCCCUAGCGUUGUCCGGAAUUAUUGGGCGUAAAGCGCACGUAGGCGGAUUGUUAAGUCAGAGGUGAAAUCCCGGAGCUCAACUUCGGAACUGCCUUUGAUACUGGCAAUCUAGAGUCCGGAAGAGGUUAGUGGAAUUCCCAGUGUAGAGGUGAAAUUCGUAGAUAUUGGGAAGAACACCAGUGGCGAAGGCGGCUAACUGGUCCGGUACUGACGCUGAGGUGCGAAAGCGUGGGGAGCAAACAGGAUUAGAAACCCGUGUAGU
This 272-nucleotide ribosomal RNA is filed under the name uncultured bacterium. RNAcentral describes it as "partial 16S ribosomal RNA". It matches the Rfam family "Bacterial small subunit ribosomal RNA", at positions 524 to 794 of the family's 1533-position model. The record is from RNAcentral.